CCUCCGCCGCCCGGGGGGCGCGUACCGGGCCCGGCUCUGCGCGCCCCGCACGGACCCUCCCGGCGGAGCGGUGAGGAUCCCCCUUCCCGCUUUACGCCCUCGGGUUGGAGCAUUUGCGCCGGGACGGGGCGGGAUCUCCCUGCCCUCCGCCGGCCCGGUGCCCUCCAGCGUGUGAGCUGCUGCUCCGCGGCCGCGCACUGCCGCGCUGGCGGCGGGGGGUCUGCCUGGCACGGGGUCCUCCUCUGCGGGGUCUUCCGCGGCCGCGCUGCUCUUCAUAGCGUAGUUGGUGCCAUUUAACCUUGUCAUUUUUAUAUAUAUAUAUAUAUAUGCAUACAACACACAGGCACACCGACAUACAUACAAUUUAUUUAUAAAAAAGCCCCGUCGCCCCGUCUCCGCAGCCUACUCGUCGCGUCGGGGGUUGGGGUCCGCAGUCCGGCUUUUUUGUGUCCUUACUGUGCCCCCAGCCCAGGGAAAGCCGCUAAGCCGCCCUCCUUUUGUGCCCCUUCUCCCGGCCCUCCGGAUGCGCCCGUCUCGGGACAGGGGCCCGCAGCGACCCCCCGCACCUGCCCCCGCCGCGGGGCGCCCGGGCGGGAGGCUCGUCCCCUGCCUUUUCCCCUUGGACCAGGUUUGCAGAGGGACCAGCCGCUGCAGAGCACGCGUCGGAGAGCCGGGACGGCUUGGGUGCUUAGUCCGGGAGCUAAAGCAGAAACCCCUCAAUGACACCGUGCAAGCAGUUCCAUAUGGAAACCCAAUCGAUGAGGUUCUUCUUCUAAAAGAAUGAAAUUGCGUUACUAGACACCCUGAACUGCACAGAAACAUCCAGUUUUAGCAUGCUGUCUGUCUCAUCCACAGGAGAUAUUCAUCAGAUGCACUGCACCCGAGAAGUGCCUAAUACUCUUCACUGACUAUCAGCUUCUUUUUUCCUUAGGUCACCCGACACACAGAUGCAAGUUUAAAAAAGCUGAACUCGGUGGGGAACAUCAGGAGCGUAGGCAGAAGUACUGCAGCCAGACUGGACCGGGAGGGCAAAAUCUGCCGAUCAGUCUCUGGGACUGGACUGUCACCUUGUCAGGAAUUGUUUUGCCACAAUGAAAUUAUUCUGAAAUGAAGCUCCUUGUUAAGCCUUUUCUUAAUAUAUCUUCAUUUUUUAUAUUUUGGCAUUUCAGCAAUCGCUGUUACACAACUUUGGGUAAGCAAGACAGUUUUUCAAAAUACAGCACUUCAGUGCAGCAGGCCGAGACCUUGCUUCUGCCAUAUAAACAGCACCAUCUUCAGGCAGCUUUGAAAAGCUAUCAAUUACCUAACAGGGACUUGGCCAUCGCUCACACUGGGGGAGCUCUGUUUCUCAUGCCGAAAUUGCAGCUCUCCUACUGUUGGUUUUUGUCCUGCUUUUCUGUCUUUCUUUAAGCCUCACAAUGAAUUUCUCCAGUGCAGACCUCCAGGCAGGACAUGGAGAUGAAAUCUGUCCUGCAUUUUUAUGGUUUUUACAAGAAGAUACAGUCACAAUGCCACUGAAAUAAUCCCAGUGAUCUGAUUUAUGAUGUCAAAGUUACCCUCUCAAUUUAAAACACAACAAGCAGUCUCCUUCAGCAACACUCUCUGCUUCUGUUUAUGACUGAAUCUUCCCUCAGGUGCACUCCAAAAUUUUCUUUGGACAGCUGUUUCACCGUUGUAUCUGUUUCAUACUGCUUGUUCCAACAAUUUCAUAUUUCAAUAAUUUGGUGUGUUUCUUUCCAUCUCUGCAAUGGAGUUAGUGGGAUUUGCAACCUAGUUUAUUUUCAUCAAUACAUCUCAGCCAGCAUAUUUCAAGUCUAUGGUUUUUAAGCUUAAAAGAGAGAGAAAGAGAGAUCGAUUAUAUUUCAUGACCUACUUGAUUGAUUUAAUUUUAUACUUUUAACACAAUAAAAGUCUAGCUGAGACAAAAGAAAUAAAUGAAUUAUCAGGUUGUA
Molecule: long non-coding RNA, 1952 nt
Organism: Dromaius novaehollandiae (emu)
Lineage: Eukaryota; Metazoa; Chordata; Aves; Casuariiformes; Dromaiidae
Exons: 3
Source: RefSeq, a predicted model, not a curated record